AUUGAACGCUGGCGGCAGGCUUAAUACAUGCAAGUCGAACGGUAACAGCAGAAAAGCUUGUUUUUUUGGCUGACGAGUGGCGGACGGGUGAGUAAUACCUAGGAAACUGCCUAAACGAGGGGGAUAACAUUUGGAAACGAGUGCUAAUACCGCAUAAUACUGAGAAGUUGAAAGUUCCGGCGGUUUGAGAUGGACAUGCGUUGUAUUAGCUAGUUGGUGAGGUAACGGCUCACCAAGGCGACGAUACAUAGGGGGACUGAGAGGUUAACCCCCCACACUGGUACUGAGACACGGACCAGACUCCUACGGGAGGCAGCAGUGAGGAAUAUUGGUCAAUGGACGCAAGUCUGAACCAGCCAUGCCGCGUGAGGGAUGACGGUCCUAUGGAUUGUAAACCUCUUUUGUCGGGGAGCAAGAUUUCUACGUGUAGAGAAGUGAGAGUACCCGAAGAAAAGCAUCGGCUAACUCCGUG
This 472-nucleotide ribosomal RNA is filed under the name uncultured bacterium. Its description in RNAcentral is "bacterial SSU rRNA". It matches the Rfam family "Bacterial small subunit ribosomal RNA", at positions 30 to 507 of the family's 1533-position model. The record is from RNAcentral.